AUCCUGGCUCAGGAUGAACGCUAGCGGCAGGCUUAACACAUGCAAGUCGAGGGGAUAGUUCUUCGGAAUUAGAGACCGGCGCACGGGUGCGUAACGCGUAUGCAAUCUACCUUUCACAGAGGGAUAGCCCAGAGAAAUUUGGAUUAAUACCUCAUAGUAUAACACAGCCGCAUGGUUGAGUUAUUAAAGUCACAACGGUGAAAGAUGAGCAUGCGUCCCAUUAGCUAGUUGGUAAGGUAACGGCUUACCAAGGCUACGAUGGGUAGGGGUCCUGAGAGGGAGAUCCCCCACACUGGUACUGAGACACGGACCAGACUCCUACGGGAGGCAGCAGUGAGGAAUAUUGGUCAAUGGACGCAAGUCUGAACCAGCCAUGCCGCGUGCAGGAUGACGGUCCUAUGGAUUGUAAACUGCG
Molecule: ribosomal RNA, 415 nt
Filed under: Flavobacterium sp. '7.1 MW-10'
Lineage: Bacteria; Pseudomonadati; Bacteroidota; Flavobacteriia; Flavobacteriales; Flavobacteriaceae
Description: bacterial SSU rRNA
Rfam family: Bacterial small subunit ribosomal RNA
Source: RNAcentral